CUACGGGAGGCAGCAGUGGGGAAUAUUGCACAAUGGGCGAAAGCCUGAUGCAGCGACCCCGCGUUGAGGCGGAAGAAGUAUUUCGGUAUGUAAAGCUCUAUCGGGCAGGGGGAGAUAAUGACGGGUACCUGACUAAGAAGCACCGGCUAAAUACGUGCCAGCAGCCGCGGUAAU
RNAcentral lists this ribosomal RNA (174 nucleotides) under uncultured bacterium. Its description in RNAcentral is "partial 16S ribosomal RNA". It matches the Rfam family "Bacterial small subunit ribosomal RNA", at positions 339 to 524 of the family's 1533-position model. The record is from RNAcentral.